AGAGUUUGAUCAUGGCUCAGGACGAACGCUGGCGGCGUGCUUAACACAUGCAAGUCGAGCGGUAAGGCCCUUCGGGGUACACGAGCGGCGAACGGGUGAGCAACACGUGGGUAACCUGCCCUGUACUCUGGGAUAAGCCUUGGAAACGAGGUCUAAUACCGGAUACGACCUGGGAUCGCAUGAUCUUGGGUGGAAAGUUCCGGCGGUAUGGGAUGGACCCGCGGCCUAUCAGCUUGUUGGUGGGGUAAUGGCCUACCAAGGCGACGACGGGUAGCCGGCCUGAGAGGGUGACCGGCCACACUGGGACUGAGACACGGCCCAGACUCCUACGGGAGGCAGCAGUGGGGAAUAUUGCACAAUGGGCGAAAGCCUGAUGCAGCGACGCCGCGUGAGGGAUGACGGCCUUCGGGUUGUAAACCUCUUUCAGCAGGGACGAAGCGCAAGUGACGGUACCUGCAGAAGAAGCACCGGCUAACUACGUGCCAGCCGCCGCGGUAAUAC
This 501-nucleotide ribosomal RNA is filed under the name uncultured bacterium. RNAcentral describes it as "bacterial SSU rRNA". It matches the Rfam family "Bacterial small subunit ribosomal RNA", at positions 8 to 526 of the family's 1533-position model. The record is from RNAcentral.